Molecule: ribosomal RNA, 301 nt
Filed under: uncultured bacterium
Lineage: Bacteria
Description: partial 16S ribosomal RNA
Rfam family: Bacterial small subunit ribosomal RNA
Source: RNAcentral
CAGCCGCCACGGGAAUACGUAGGUGGCAAGCGUUGUCCGGAAUUAUUGGGCGUAAAGGGCUCGCAGGCGGUUUCUUAAGUCUGAUGUGAAAGCCCCCGGCUCAACCGGGGAGGGUCAUUGGAAACUGGGAAACUUGAGUGCAGAAGAGGAGAGUGGAAUUCCACGUGUAGCGGUGAAAUGCGUAGAGAUGAGGAGGAACACCAGUGGCGAAGGCGACUCUCUGGUCUGUAACUGACGCUGAGGAGCGAAAGCGUGGGGAGCGAACAGGAUUAGAUACCCGAGUAGUCCCUGUCUCUUAUAC